UGAGGAAUAUUGGUCAAUGGGCGCGAGCCUGAACCAGCCAAGUAGCGUGAAGGAUGAAGGUCCUAUGGAUUGUAAACUUCUUUUAUAGCAGAAUAAAGUGACCCACGUGUGGGUUUUUGUAUGUAUGCUAUGAAUAAGCACCGGCUAACUCCGUGCCAGCAGCCGCGGUAAUACGGAGGGUGCAAGCGUUAUCCGGAUUUAUUGGGUUUAAAGGGUCCGUAGGCGGACUUAUAAGUCAGUGGUGAAAGCCUGUCGCUUAACGAUAGAACUGCCAUUGAUACUGUAAGUCUUGGGUAUAUUUGAGGUAGCUGGAAUAAGUAGUGUAGCGGUGAAAUGCAUAGAUAUUACUUAGAACACCAAUUGCGAAGGCAGGUUACCAAGAUAUAACUGACGCUGAGGGACGAAAGCGUGGGGAGCGAACA
RNAcentral lists this ribosomal RNA (422 nucleotides) under uncultured bacterium. RNAcentral describes it as "bacterial SSU rRNA". It matches the Rfam family "Bacterial small subunit ribosomal RNA", at positions 355 to 774 of the family's 1533-position model. The record is from RNAcentral.